Molecule: ribosomal RNA, 253 nt
Filed under: uncultured bacterium
Lineage: Bacteria
Description: partial 16S ribosomal RNA
Rfam family: Bacterial small subunit ribosomal RNA
Source: RNAcentral
UACGGAGGGUGCGAGCGUUGUCCGGAAUCAUUGGGCGUAAAGGGCGCGUAGGUGGCCCGGUCAGUUCGUGGUGAAAGCCCCGGGCCCAACCUGGGAAUGGCGAUGGAUACUGGCUCGCUAGAGUGCGGUAGAGGAGAGUGGAAUUCCCGGUGUAGCAGUGAAAUGCGUAGAGAUCGGGAGGAACAUCAGUUGCGAAGGCGGCUCUCUGGACCAGCACUGACACUGAGGCACGAAAGCGUGGGGAGCAAACAGG